UAGGGAAUCUUCCACAAUGGACGCAAGUCUGAUGGAGCAACGCCGCGUGAGUGAAGAAGGUUUUCGGAUCGUAAAGCUCUGUUGUUGGUGAAGAAGGAUAGAGGCAGUAACUGGUCUUUAUUCGACGGUAAUCAACCAGAAAGUCACGGCUAACUACGUGCCAGCAGCCGCGGUAAUACGUAGGUGGCAAGCGUUGUCCGGAUUUAUUGGGCGUAAAGCGAGCGCAGGCGGAAUGAUAAGUCUGAUGUGAAAGCCCACGGCUCAACCGUGGAACUGCAUCGGAAACUGUAAUGCUUGAGUGCAGAAGAGGAGAGUGGAAUUCCAUGUGUAGCGGUGGAAUGCGUAGAUAUAUGGAAGAGCACCAGUGGCGAAGGCGGCUCUCUGGUCUGCAACUGACGCUGAGGCUCGAAAGCAUGGGUAGCGAACAGG
This 429-nucleotide ribosomal RNA is filed under the name bacterium. RNAcentral describes it as "partial 16S ribosomal RNA". It matches the Rfam family "Bacterial small subunit ribosomal RNA", at positions 355 to 776 of the family's 1533-position model. The record is from RNAcentral.